RNAcentral lists this ribosomal RNA (292 nucleotides) under uncultured bacterium. Its description in RNAcentral is "partial 16S ribosomal RNA". It matches the Rfam family "Bacterial small subunit ribosomal RNA", at positions 505 to 796 of the family's 1533-position model. The record is from RNAcentral.
GUGUCAGCAGCCGCGGUAAUACGGAGGGUGCAAGCGUUAUCCGGAUUCACUGGGUUUAAAGGGAGCGUAGGCGGGCAUGUAAGUCCGUGGUGAAAGCCCUCAGCUUAACUGAGGAACUGCCAUGGAUACUAUAUGUCUUGAAUGAUGUGGAGGUUUGCGGAAUAGGUCAUGUAGCGGUGAAAUGCUUAGAUAUGACCUAGAACACCUAUUGCGAAGGCAGCAGGCUACACAUAAAUUGACGCUGAGGCUCGAAAGCGUGGGGAUCAAACAGGAUUAGAAACCCCAGUAGUCC